GGGUCUGCUGUAACUUCUUGCCUGGUUCACAGCAGAGGCUGUGUUCUUCCAGUUCUUUAGCGUGCCACGUUCAUACCAACACCACCGUUUUCCCCUCUGGUCCGUGAACUUGGUACUAACGCAUCCCAACUGUAGGGAUCUCCCAUUUUUCUUCGAAGGGUUGAGCCAUUUAAUGAGGUUACCUGUGGGUGAAACCAGUCUGGAAGACAAGUUGUUUGCUGCCUCAAACUGCCCACAGACCUUCAGUUUGGUACACAACAAAAAGAGAAGAACGAAGAAGAUAAAAACGUGGUCGCUUGUCCUGUGGGCACUCCAGUGCUGAUCCCUCCAGCAGAGGAAGGGGAGGCUGAAGGUGGUGGAAGCUGUCUGGCAUUUCCUUGCCGUGAAACUCCUACCACGGGGUGCUGGUAGCCAGGAACGUGGGACUGAUGUAUGGGACAUUCCCUGAAAUGCUGGAGUAGAUAGAAAAGUAUUCAAAGGAUAUUACUGCCCGAUGCCCAGACAAGGGCUUGCCCUCCAGGAAGACUCAGGACUUAACGAAAUCCCCUAAAGUGCACCCGAAGCCCUGUAAUUCCGUUUGCUGUGACUCGUUCGUCCUGACUCACGGCUCCUUCCCAUCAAAAGUCUGUGUUUCUGAGUAUCUAGCAGAUGGCCACGGCUUGAUUUUUACUAGUUUCCUAAAAAUAAGCUGUUUUCGUUUUAAAAUAGCACCGUUUCCAUUUUUUAUUGGCCCGAAGUCUUCUCCACCAUCUAAGUGUAUUCUGUGAAAGUGGGCCUCGUGGUUCGAGAGUGGUACAAUGGAUUACUUGCCAGAGAAAUCAAAGCUUCAUAAAAGUUUGGCAACGUUCAUUAUUUUAGAUAUCAGCAGGUUCAUUGUGUUUCUGAGAUGACCGAAACAUUCAUCUCGUUUUCUGAUGCCCUUC
Long non-coding RNA from Cygnus olor (mute swan), 923 nucleotides. RefSeq lists it as uncharacterized. The transcript has 3 exons. Lineage: Eukaryota; Metazoa; Chordata; Aves; Anseriformes; Anatidae. The record is from RefSeq and is a predicted model, not a curated record.